Molecule: ribosomal RNA, 253 nt
Filed under: uncultured bacterium
Lineage: Bacteria
Description: partial 16S ribosomal RNA
Rfam family: Bacterial small subunit ribosomal RNA
Source: RNAcentral
AACGUAGGACGCAAGCGUUAUCCGGAGUUACUGGGCGUAAAGCGUGCGCAGGCGGUUCGUUAUGUCCGUUGUGAAAGCCCCGGGCUCAACCUGGGAAUGGCAAUGGAAACUGGCGGGCUAGAGUGUGGCAGAGGGGGGUGGAAUUCCGCGUGUAGCAGUGAAAUGCGUAGAGAUGCGGAGGAACACCGAUGGCGAAGGCAGCCCCCUGGGCUAGCACUGACGCUCAGGCACGAAAGCGUGGGGAGCAAACAGG